This 28-nucleotide non-coding RNA is filed under the name Mus musculus (house mouse). Lineage: Eukaryota; Metazoa; Chordata; Mammalia; Rodentia; Muridae. The record is from RNAcentral.
UUUGAUGCAAACGCAAAGCAGAGUCAAC